Molecule: non-coding RNA, 104 nt
Organism: Otolemur garnettii (small-eared galago)
Lineage: Eukaryota; Metazoa; Chordata; Mammalia; Primates; Galagidae
Source: Rfam
GUGAUCCCUUCAACAGCACACAUACGAAACUCGGAACCAUACAGAGAUUAGCAUGGCCCCUGUGCGAGGAUGACACACAAAUUCACAAAGUGUUCCAUAUUUUU